This 97-nucleotide ribosomal RNA is filed under the name uncultured bacterium. RNAcentral's name for it is "partial 16S ribosomal RNA". It matches the Rfam family "Bacterial small subunit ribosomal RNA", at positions 1386 to 1482 of the family's 1533-position model. The record is from RNAcentral.
CACACCGCCCGUCACACCAUGGGAGUUGGUAUUACCCGAAGACGGUGCGCUAACCGCAAGGAGGCAGCCGGCCACAGUAGGAUCAGCGACUGGGGUG